This 495-nucleotide ribosomal RNA is filed under the name uncultured bacterium. Its description in RNAcentral is "partial 16S ribosomal RNA". It matches the Rfam family "Bacterial small subunit ribosomal RNA", at positions 28 to 507 of the family's 1533-position model. The record is from RNAcentral.
GACGAACGCUGGCGGCGUGCCUAAUACAUGCAAGUAGAACGCUGAAGGAGGAGCUUGCUUCUCUGGAUGAGUUGCGAACGGGUGAGUAACGCGUAGGUAACCUGCCUGGUAGCGGGGGAUAACUAUUGGAAACGAUAGCUAAUACCGCAUAAUAGUAGAUGUUGCAUGACAUUUACUUACAAGGUGCAAUUGCAUCACUACCAGAUGGACCUGCGUUGUAUUAGCUAGUUGGUGGGGUAACGGCUCACCAAGGCGACGAUACCUAGCCGACCUGAGAGGGUAAGCGGCCACACUGGGACUGAGACACGGCCCAGACUCCUACGGGAGGCAGCAGUAGGGAAUCUUCGGCAAUGGACGAAAGUCUUACCGAGCAACGCCGCGGGAGUGAAGAAGGUUGUCGGAUCGUAAAGCUCUGUUGUAAGAGAAGAACGAGUGUGAGAGUGGAAAGUUCACACUGUGACGGUAUCUUACCAGAAAGGGACGGCUAACUACGUG